GGCAGAGAGAGAGGGAGAAAGAAUUCCAAGCAGGCUCCAAGCUCAGUGCAGAACCCAACAUGGAGCUUGAUCUCAUGAUGGAACAAAUCAGUAACAAAGUCUGUUAGGAAUCCCAGAGCUCAUUGUUGGUGAGGAGGGUAUGAGUCAGUAGGAGAACCUGCUGCUGCCACCAUGGAGCAAGUGACAGAGGGUUCUUUACGUGGGAACCUUAGAAUAAUCAAAGCUGAAAGGCAUAGGAGAGUUUAACAACUCAGACCCUGAGGGACACAGUAGGAAAUUGUACUUCUGGAAGAAGGCUGGGGAGGGCUACAGGGAAGAACAUUGUGCUUUUAGACCUAAUGAUCUUUGAUCCACCUAUUCACCACUUUCCCUUUGAAAUACAGCCAUAGACAUUCUCCAGGGUUGAAUGCCUUGGUUGAGACUUUGCCUACUCAUAAUGAUCUCCAAUAACUUUAAGAUCAAAGAUUCCAGUAAGAACCUGGGAAUUGUCAGAAAAGCAUUUGAAUAAAAAACAGGCAGCUCAUCAAAGUGACCCAAUUAAAUGGAAAUGACACAUUCGGAAACCUGUCUAUGAGUUUCUAUGUUCAGAAAGAAAAAGAAAGAUGGAACUUGAUUUGUGGAUGGCAAUGCUUGACUGAGGGAGGAGAUAUGUUUCUGAAAGAAUGCCAGCUAACAGAAAAUUUCUAGUAAAAGAAAAAGAGGUGAGUAAUCAGCUAAAUGGACAGUUAUAUACAGUGUGGCUAAUACAAACCCUUACUGAGAUUGAUUGAUUGAUUGAUUGAUAGAUAUGAUAGAUAAUGACUCAGUGAAUGACCAGUUGUCUAACCAUUUGUUUUGGCAAGUGAGACACAUGGAUUCAGACUUAAAAAUACCAUCAUUUGGAUGCUGGACUUAAAGAAAAGCCAUGAGCUUUUUUUCUUAAAAUAUAGAUUACUCACAUGUGGUUGAAAAACCCAUCAGUCACAUUCAAAGGAGAAAAAUGCUAGUGACUGAAAAAACAAGAUAUAUUUAUUUGUGCAAGCUUUGACAGGUUUAGGUCCCUGAGAUGAGUGUACAUGAAGUUGUAAACCAAGUUUCAAUAGACACAUUUCCAGGACUUGCUCUUCUUUCCUGUCCAGCUUAUAAUUUACUGAAGACAUGUUUACAUUUUAGUCCUUAAACAGACCCCCAAGUUACAUGGCUCAUCACCCAUGGGAAUAAUAAGUUACAACGAGUUUUUCUCUGCUAUUGACAAUUUUAGGGGUUUUGACUUUGUGACUGAGGCCUUGUCAAAAACAAGAAAGGCUAAAAGACAAGAUUACCCACAAAUAUAAACCCAAACUUAGAUAUCAGCCCAUCAGGGAAUAGCAUUUUAUAGCACAGACCGUACAAAACACAAAGGAACAAGAAAUUUAAUAUGAACUGAGCCUCUCAACAAUUCAUAUCGACCGCAAAGCAGAGGAAUAAACAGAAAUUUAAAUGGACACUUUAAGUAAUUGAAGCUGCCUUGAUCUUAUAACUAGCAUGGUGACCUUUAACAGGUGUUCUUAAUUUUAUCUGAUUGAUUUACUAACCUUCCUAUUAUAUCUUCUAGAAGGAGAAUAGAAAGCCCUUGCACGUCACAGGACAGGAAUUAGACCUCUUGCUCAACCGCCAGACAGUGAAAGCUGUAAAGAGGCACCACUAAAUCUACACGGAAUCAGGAAAUGUUACAGGCCACUGCACCCCCUCCCUAAUUAACUACGCCCAGUCCCUUUAAAGCCCUCUUGGCUAGGCAGAAACCGUGGAGCUGGCUUUUGGGCCAGAGUCUGCCUUCUCCCCAGGUGGCCGGCCUCCUGAAUAAAGCUCAUAGUCCUUUCCAACCAACACGGGCUCUUGGGUACUGAGCAACAGGCAGAACUUGGGUUCCACAACACAAUUACUAGACAAAGCAGGUGGGGGGAGAGGGUGCAUUGUGAUGUAGUAUUGAGUAAUAUCCCAGAUUAAAAGAUGUGUUUCAAUUCAUGUUGCAGGGCUAUAAAGGUAGAUCACCAGGUGAAUGGUUUCUAAGAAAGGGAGUUGGCAAGAUGGGAUAAAGAGGAAGGAUGCAGCUCUCUGAAUAACUUCUCCAGAGCUAACUUACUUUUCUGGCUCCUACACAAAGCAGAAACUAGCUAUCUCCGUUGUGUCCGCAGUCUGAAACAGAUACCACCUGCCCCUCCUCCUUCUUCUUUGUACUUGGAGUGUGGAAGUGAAGCCAUAGAUGCAGCAGCAGUCCUGUGACCUUGAAAUAAGAAGCACGAGUGGAAAAUCCACAUGCUAAGGAUGACGGAACAGGAAAAUAGAAAGAGCUGGAAAUAGUCACAUCAUGUUGCUACUGCACCAGUCCUACACUUCCGACCUUCAGACUUAUUAUUAUUUUAGAAAAAUUAUAUCCCAGCCACCUGGGUGGCUCAGUCGGUUAAGUGGCUGACUCUUGAUGUGGGCUCAGGUCAUAGUCUGGCAGUUCAUGAGUUCAAGCCCCAUGUGACUAACAGUGGGGGCCUGCUUGGGAUUCUCUCUUUUUCUCUCUUUCUCUCUGCCUCUCCCUGCCUCUCUCUCUCUCACUCUCUCAAAAUAAAUAAAGUUAAAAGAAAAUCUCUUAAAGUAUACCCCGUUGUAGUUAAGUUACUGUGGAUGAGUUGUUGUGCAACUAUCCUUCUCUUCAAAAACAACCUCAAAACAGUGAAAUUCAAAAUGCAGCAGAGAGAGGAAACAAAAAUUGCCAAUAUCAGAAAUAAAACAAGGGAUACAACUAGAGAUCCUAGGGGAGAAAUUAGAAGGACAAUAAAUGCAAACAAUGAAUAACUUUUUGUCAAUAGAUUCAACAAUUUGGUUGGAAUGAGCAAAUUAUUGAGUGAGUCCACUUCAAAACCAACAUGAGAAUAAAGAACAAAUCUAAGUAGCCUCCCAUUAAAAACAAAACAAAACAAAAAAACAAGAAAGGUCUGAAAUUGUGUGUUGCCUGCAAACUGACAAGCCUGUCAACCAGUUUCAAGGAUAUUGAAAGAAAAUACAGUACUCGUGGGUCAGAUACAAAGGUCAAUAUUUUACUCAACAAUGGUUAUGAAUUAAAGCUUUUAAAAACA
Long non-coding RNA from Felis catus (domestic cat), 3086 nucleotides. RefSeq lists it as uncharacterized. The record is from RefSeq and is a predicted model, not a curated record. Lineage: Eukaryota; Metazoa; Chordata; Mammalia; Carnivora; Felidae. The transcript has 2 exons.